This 377-nucleotide ribosomal RNA is filed under the name uncultured bacterium. Its description in RNAcentral is "bacterial SSU rRNA". It matches the Rfam family "Bacterial small subunit ribosomal RNA", at positions 523 to 898 of the family's 1533-position model. The record is from RNAcentral.
AUACGUAGGUGGCAAGCGUUGUCCGGAAUUACUGGGUGUAAAGGGCGUGUAGGCGGGAAGGCAAGUCAGAUGUGAAAUUCCGGGGCUCAACCCCGGCGCUGCAUCUGAAACUGUCUUUCUUGAGUGCUGGAGAGGAAAGCGGAAUUCCUAGUGUAGCGGUGAAAUGCGUAGAUAUUAGGAGGAACACCAGUGGCGAAGGCGGCUUUCUGGACAGUAACUGACGCUGAGGCGCGAAAGCGUGGGGAGCAAACAGGAUUAGAUACCCUGGUAGUCCACGCUGUAAACGAUGGAUACUAGGUGUAGGAGGUAUCGACCCCUUCUGUGCCGGAGUUAACACAAUAAGUAUCCCACCUGGGGAGUACGGCCGCAAGGUUGAA